Molecule: ribosomal RNA, 495 nt
Filed under: uncultured bacterium
Lineage: Bacteria
Description: partial 16S ribosomal RNA
Rfam family: Bacterial small subunit ribosomal RNA
Source: RNAcentral
GACGAACGCUGGCGGCGUGCCUAAUACAUGCAAGUAGAACGCUGAAGAGAGGAGCUUGCUCUUCUUGGAUGAGUUGCGAACGGGUGAGUAACGCGUAGGUAACCUGCCUUGUAGCGGGGGAUAACUAUUGGAAACGAUAGCUAAUACCGCAUAACAAUGGAUGACACAUGUCAUUUAUUUGAAAGGGGCAAUUGCUCCACUACAAGAUGGACCUGCGUUGUAUUAGCUAGUAGGUGAGGUAAUGGCUCACCUAGGCGACGAUACAUAGCCGACCUGAGAGGGGGAACGGCCAACAUGGGAGUGAGAACAGGCCCAAAACCCCACGGGGAGCAGGAGGAGGGAAAUUUCGGGAAAGGGGGGAACCCUGACCGGGCAACGGCGGGUGGGGGAAGAAGGGUUUCGGAUCGGAAAGCCUUGUUGUAAGUCAAGAAAGGGUGGGAGGGUGGAAAGUUCAACCUGUGACGGGAGGUUACCAGAAAGGGAAGGCUAACUACG